Molecule: non-coding RNA, 72 nt
Organism: Podarcis lilfordi (Lilford's wall lizard)
Lineage: Eukaryota; Metazoa; Chordata; Lepidosauria; Squamata; Lacertidae
Source: the annotation of a GenBank genome assembly
AGAGCCAUAGCUUAGUGGUAGAGCUCUUGCAUUUCACUCAGGGGGUCCUAGGUUCGAUCCUCUGCAGCUCUG